Molecule: long non-coding RNA, 941 nt
Organism: Salvia splendens (bonfire salvia)
Lineage: Eukaryota; Viridiplantae; Streptophyta; Magnoliopsida; Lamiales; Lamiaceae
Exons: 6
Source: RefSeq, a predicted model, not a curated record
CCAAGGCUCCACCAACCGUUGGCAAUCGGCAGUGCCUACAUUCAUCUGAAUCUGCUGCCACGAUUCAUCUCUACAAACUUUCUGUUCCCUACAAAGAAGCAUUCUCUCUCUCCUGUCUCUCUCUCUUCAUACAACACCAUGAAGGCUUUGAAGAAGGUGAAGGAUUCUCCCUCUCGUAAUGGAAACCACAAUUUCAGGCGAUUCUUCUCCUCACUCACCCGCUUCGUGCAUCUUCGUCUUCACUCUCCUUUUUCCCGAUUAUUCUUCCAUUCAUCUAUUCAAUUUUCUGUUUCCGCGCCGCGGAUCGAUGAUUUUGACCUCAGAAUAAAAGCUACUGCACAUAGCUAUACGAGAUGAAGUGAUAAUCCUCUUCCCUUUCAAUAAGCUAUGGAUUCAUUAAGCUCAAAGGGGGUGUGGAGAAGAAGAUAUGAGCCUUUUGAUAAAUGGAACGUAGCGGUAGGGAAGGAUCUGAACUGAAUUCCAAUGAUGGAAGUAUUGUCUAAUAUGUCUCCCAUGAGACUUCUCCCCCGCCUUUCAUGGAACCUUGAGCAUUCUCUUUGUCUAUAUAAAUGAUAGAAUGAAGAUGGUUAAAGAAGACAAACACAGAAGAUAAAUACUCUAAAAAAUGAGGUCUACAGAUACACCGCAUCUUCCGUAACUCUACGAUCAAAAGAUGCCAAAUCCCACGAUAUUUACACUUUCUGGUUCAUAAGAUCAAUGCUCUUCAUAGAGAGGGAGGUACACACAAGAAAAUGAGUUGGGCAUGGGAAAAUCAUCCAGGUUUCGUGUAUUAUGAUAUAAGACUGACAUUUGGCCAGGAAGAUUACCUUGACUUCAGAAAUUGAAUUCAACAACUGGUGAGGUUCCUCUUUUGCUUUGUUAUACCUUUCAAUCACCGACUUCAUACUGCAUAAAAUCAGCAUAAAUAUCAGAAAUUGCAA